This 931-nucleotide ribosomal RNA is filed under the name Rhodella violacea. Its description in RNAcentral is "partial Eukaryotic large subunit ribosomal RNA". It matches the Rfam family "Eukaryotic large subunit ribosomal RNA", at positions 1 to 942 of the family's 3401-position model. The record is from RNAcentral. Lineage: Eukaryota; Rhodophyta; Rhodellophyceae; Rhodellales; Rhodellaceae.
GACCUCGGAUCAGGUAGGGAUACCCGCUGAACUUAAGCAUAUCAAUAAGCGGAGGAAAAGAAACCAACAGGGAUUGCCUCAGUAACGGCGAGUGAAGCGGCAAAAGCUCAAAUUUGAAAUCUGGCUCUUUCAGGGUCCGAGUUGUAAUUUGUAGAAGAUGCUUUGGGUGUGGCUCUGGUUUAAGUUCUUUGGAAUAUUACAUCAUAGAGGGUGAGAAUCCCGUAUGUGACCAGUCGCCGCGCCCGUGUAAAGCUCUUUCAACGAGUCGAGUUGUUUGGGAAUGCAGCUCAAAAUGGGAGGUAUAUUUCUUCUAAAGCUAAAUAUUGGCCAGAGACCGAUAGCGCACAAGUAGAGUGAUCGAAAGAUGAAAAGCACUUUGGAAAGAGAGUUAAACAGUACGUGAAAUUGUUGAAAGGGAAGCGCUUGCAACCAGACUUGCACGCAGUUGAUCAUCCGGUGUUCUCACCGGGGCACUCUGCUGCGUUCAGGCCAGCAUCGUUUUUGGUGGUUGGAUAAAGACCUUGGGAAUGUAGCUUCUUUCGGGGAGUGUUAUAGCCCUCGGUGCAAUGCAGCCUACCGGGAACGAGGACCGCGCUUCGGCUAGGAUGCUGGCGUAAUGGUUGUAAGCGGCCCGUCUUGGAACACGGACCAAGGAGUCUAACAUGCCUGCGAGUGCAAGGGUGGCAAGCCCACGCGCGUAAUGAAAGUAAAGGCACCUGGUGCCGAGAUGGGAAUCGCAAGAUGCACCAUCGCCCGACCAUGCGCUUCUGCAAACGGUUUGAGGAAGAGCAGGUAUGCUAGGACCCGAAAGAUGGUGAACUAUGCCUGAGUAGGGUGAAGCCUGAAGAAAUUCAGGUGGAGGCUCGUAGCGAUACUGACGUGCAAAUCGUUCGUCGAACUUGGGUAUAGGGGCGAAAGACUAAUCGAACCA